RNAcentral lists this ribosomal RNA (492 nucleotides) under uncultured bacterium. RNAcentral's name for it is "partial 16S ribosomal RNA". It matches the Rfam family "Bacterial small subunit ribosomal RNA", at positions 28 to 507 of the family's 1533-position model. The record is from RNAcentral.
GAUGAACGCUAGCUACAGGCUUAACACAUGCAAGUCGAGGGGAAACGGCAUUGAGUGCUUGCACUCUUUGGACGUCGACCGGCGCACGGGUGAGUAACGCGUAUCCAACCUUCCCAUUACUGUGGGAUAACCUGCCGAAAGGCAGACUAAUACCGCAUAGUCUUCGAUGACGGCAUCAGAUUUGAAGUAAAGAUUUAUCGGUAAUGGAUGGGGAUGCGUCUGAUUAGCUUGUUGGCGGGGUAACGGCCCACCAAGGCUACGAUCAGUAGGGGUUCUGAGAGGAAGGUCCCCCACAUUGGAACUGAGACACGGUCCAAACUCCUACGGGAGGCAGCAGUGAGGAAUAGUGGUCAAUGGACGGAAGUCUGAACCAGCCAAGUAGAGUGCAGGAUGACGGCCCUAUGGGUUGUAAACUGCUUUUGUAUGGGGAUAAAGUUAGGGACGUGUCCCUAUUUGCAGGUACCAUACGAAUAAGGACCGGCUAAUUCCGUG